This 493-nucleotide ribosomal RNA is filed under the name uncultured bacterium. RNAcentral's name for it is "partial 16S ribosomal RNA". It matches the Rfam family "Bacterial small subunit ribosomal RNA", at positions 29 to 507 of the family's 1533-position model. The record is from RNAcentral.
ACGAACGCUGGCGGCGUGCUUCACACAUGCAAGUCGAACGGUGAAGCGCCUUCCUUUUUGGUGGGUGUGGAUGAGUGGCGCACGGGUGAGUAACACGUGAGUAACCUGCCCCCUUCUUCUGGAUAACCGCAUGAAAGUGUGGCUAAUACGGGAUAUUCUGGGUCUGUCGCAUGAUGGGUCUGGGAAAGAUAUUGUUUCGGUGGGGGAUGGGCUCGCGGCCUAUCAGCUUGUUGGUGGGGUGAUGGCCUACCAAGGCGGUGACGGGUAGCCGGCCUGAGAGGGUGGACGGUCACACUGGGACUGAGACACGGCCCAGACUCCUACGGGAGGCAGCAGUGGGGAAUAUUGCACAAUGGGCGCAAGCCUGAUGCAGCGACGCCGCGUGAGGGAUGGAGGCCUUCGGGUUGUGAACCUCUUUCGCCAGUGAAGCAGGCCUGCCUCGUUUGUGGGUGGGUUGACGGUAGCUGGAUAAGAAGCGCCGGCUAACUACGUG